UUUUUUUUUUUUUUUUUUAAAAAAAAAAUUAAAGUAAAAAUAUUUGAGGGAGGAUAUAUUUUUAUUAUGUAUUAAAUAUCGCACUCCCAGGGCAUCUUAAAUUAUUAUUGAUAAUUUUGAAAUUUUUUUUUUUUUAAAUUAUUUAUAAUAAUAAGGUGCACCUAGAGCGUACACGCUGGGACCCGAAAGAUGGUGAACUAUGCCUGGUCAGGACGAAGUCAGGGGAAACCCUGAUGGAGGUCCGUAGCGAUUCUGACGUGCAAAUCGAUCGUCGGAACUGGGUAUAGGGGCGAAAGACU
RNAcentral lists this ribosomal RNA (299 nucleotides) under Myrmeleon crudelis. RNAcentral describes it as "partial 28S ribosomal RNA". It matches the Rfam family "Eukaryotic large subunit ribosomal RNA", at positions 691 to 932 of the family's 3401-position model. Lineage: Eukaryota; Metazoa; Arthropoda; Insecta; Neuroptera; Myrmeleontidae. The record is from RNAcentral.